UACGUAGGGGGCAAGCGUUGUCCGGAAUCAUUGGGCGUAAAGAGCGUGUAGGCGGUCCGGUAAGUCCGCUGUGAAAGUCGGGGGCUCAACCCUCGAAUGCCGGUGGAUACUGUCGGGCUAGAGUGCGGAAGAGGCGAGUGGAAUUCCUGGUGUAGCGGUGAAAUGCGCAGAUAUCAGGAAGAACACCCGUGGCGAAGGCGGCUCGCUGGGACGGUACUGACGCUGAGGCGCGAAAGCGUGGGGAGCAAACAGG
RNAcentral lists this ribosomal RNA (253 nucleotides) under uncultured bacterium. RNAcentral describes it as "partial 16S ribosomal RNA". It matches the Rfam family "Bacterial small subunit ribosomal RNA", at positions 524 to 776 of the family's 1533-position model. The record is from RNAcentral.